Long non-coding RNA from Anguilla rostrata (American eel), 1303 nucleotides. RefSeq lists it as uncharacterized. The transcript is spliced from 4 exons. The record is from RefSeq and is a predicted model, not a curated record. NCBI's taxonomy places the organism in Eukaryota, Metazoa, Chordata, Actinopteri, Anguilliformes, Anguillidae.
GUUCUCAAGGCCUUAAUUGCUGCUGAUUGAAAGGACCCACACGUUCCUGCAGACACUGUUUGCCCACCCGGACGGGAGUUUCACACUGUUGGUCUACACUGUGGCCAAUUGCACAUCACAGUUCUACACACAUCUGGCUUGUCCAGCCUUAUAUGAAAAAGGCCAGUUCGGCUGUAGGCUUUUGUUUUAGCCUACAAUGCUGGAUUCACCUAAUUAACUAGUCAUAAUAUUCAAUCAAGACUAAGAAGUAGAAUCAGGUGUCUUACUGCUGGGCUAGAACGAAAACCUGCAUGCACACAGCUGACUACUGACUGAAGAAAUAGCAGGUUUAAUAUAUCGGUUCCCUUAUGACAGCGAGGGUGACCAUCCUAGAUCCCAGAAGGCCACUGAGUCAGCCGGAUUUUCUUUUCCUCAGCAACCUGCUCUGACCCAAGACAGCAGAGCCAUCGAAACGAGGGGUCACCCGACCAGGGAGGGAAAGGUCUGGGCUCUCCGCGAGUGGGCUCUCCACGUCUGGACCCAUGACUCCAAAACAUCCAAAAUAAGGCGAAGAUUUCCUGCUCCCGUUAACAAAUGUCCCAGCGUGUCUCACCACCUCCCUACACAGGGCGGCUGUUGCAUCAUUCGGACGUGAGGACAGGGAAGAGCCUGGCCCGUGUGGAGCGGCCGCAGGCUGCUCGGAGAGACGGGACAGCCAGCUGGCGAGAGCGUACUGAUCUGAGAGGGCUGGUCGGGCUGUACGGUGCAAUGAGUGCCUCAAGGCAGGAAGGGGGCAGUUCCAUUUGCAGCCUAGUAUGCGGUGUACAAGAUUUAAAUUGAAUGUGGGCAGCCACCGGAAGUGGGCAAAGGGCACUCCAAAGCGGUGUGGCAUGACGAAUCCGGGCUGGUUGAAGUCCAGGCGGGCAGCAUGUAGUGUCAUCACGGCAUCACGGCAGCCAGUGCACAGAAACGUGGGCACAAAACUCACCUCUGCCUGAUGAUUAGCCUUAACCCGUCUGUGCUUUACAUGCGCCAUUAACAAACAUGCCUCUUAAAAGCUGCUAAAAUGCUAUUUUGGAUUUUGGAACCGUGAAUGAAAUUAAAGCCAUAAUAUCUAUAACAUUUUCUGUUUAUUUUCAUUGUAUGUAUUGGCUGUGUUUGGCCUUCACCUGGACGGCAUUGUUUACAUAUGCAUCACCUAUGACAGUCAUUAUCAAUUGUGCUUUAACUUCAGGUAAUAUAACUACAAGUUAACUUUUUUCUUGCACUUUGACUUGUAACAAUUAGAAAAUAAAAUAAAUAAAAGGCUGACAGUAAAUGCCUU